This 203-nucleotide long non-coding RNA is filed under the name Elaeis guineensis (African oil palm). RNAcentral's name for it is "long non-coding RNA (EGUI_LNC011679)". The record is from RNAcentral. Lineage: Eukaryota; Viridiplantae; Streptophyta; Magnoliopsida; Arecales; Arecaceae.
GGCUCUAUUCAUAUUUAAGUUGGCAAUAUAAUUAAUUUAAGCUCUAUAUCUUGUUCGGAUUAGUUUUGUAGCCAUUGCCUCGUAUUAGCAUUGUUGAUUUUUUUUCCAUGAUUACUAAUUUCUUUUCCAUCAUCUAGAUAUUGAAAGCUUUCCAAACUGAAAUCUCCAGGAAACAACCUAGCAAGCACCAACUUGUUCCAUGC